GUGAACGCUGGCGGUAGGCCUAACACAUGCAAGUCGAACGGCAGCACAGUAAGAGCUUGCUCUUACGGGUGGCGAGUGGCGGACGGGUGAGGAAUACAUCGGAAUCUACUUUUUCGUGGGGGAUAACGUAGGGAAACUUACGCUAAUACCGCAUACGACCUACGGGUGAAAGCAGGGGAUCUUCGGACCUUGCGCGAUUGAAUGAGCCGAUGUCGGAUUAGCUAGUUGGCGGGGUAAAGGCCCACCAAGGCGACGAUCCGUAGCUGGUCUGAGAGGAUGAUCAGCCACACUGGAACUGAGACACGGUCCAGACUCCUACGGGAGGCAGCAGUGGGGAAUAUUGGACAAUGGGCGCAAGCCUGAUCCAGCCAUACCGCGUGGGUGAAGAAGGCCUUCGGGUUGUAAAGCCCUUUUGUUGGGAAAGAAAAGCAGCAGGUUAAUACCCCGCUGUUCUGACGGUACCCAAAGAAUAAGCACCGGCGAACUUCGU
RNAcentral lists this ribosomal RNA (490 nucleotides) under uncultured bacterium. RNAcentral describes it as "partial 16S ribosomal RNA". It matches the Rfam family "Bacterial small subunit ribosomal RNA", at positions 29 to 506 of the family's 1533-position model. The record is from RNAcentral.